UGAGUACGAGAUGCUACGGCGUCGAAGCAGUGUAUGUCAGACUUCCAAGAAAAGCUUGCACUGUCAUAAAUAAAGAAUGCCUGUACCAUAACCGACACAGGUGGGUAGGUAGAGUAUACUAAGGGGCGCGAGAUAACUCUCUCUAAGGAACUCGGCAAAAUGACUCCGUAACUUCGGGAGAAGGAGUGCCUUAUUUAUAAGGUUGCAAUAACAAGAUCCAAGCAACUGUUUAUCAAAAACACAGGUCUCCGCUAAGUCGUAAGACGAUGUAUGGGGGCUGACGCCUGCCCAGUGCCAGAAGGUUAAAGAAGUUGGUUAGUGUAUGCGAAGCUGAUGACUGAAGCCCUGGUGAACGGCGGCCGUAACUAUAACGGUCCUAAGGUAGCGAAAUUCCUUGUCGGGUAAGUUCCGACCCGCACGAAAGGCGUAAUGAUUUGGAUACUGUCUCGGAGAGAGGCUCGGUGAAAUAGACUUGUCUGUGAAGAUGCGGACUACCUGCACCAGGACAGAAAGACCCUAUGAAGCUUUACUGUAACUUGAAAUUGGAAUUGGACUUCGCUUGCGCAGUAUAGGUGGGAAGCGUUGAAAAUAUUCUUGCGGGAGUAUUGGAGCUAUCAGUGAGAUACCACUCUUGUAAUGUUAGAUUUCUAACUUUGAACCAUAAUCUGGUCAAAGAACAGUUUCAGGUGGGCAGUUUGACUGGGGCGGUCGCCUCCCAAAUGGUAACGGAGGCGUACAAAGGUUUCCUCUGAACGGAUAGAAAUCGUAUCUAGAGUGUAAAGGCAUAAGGAAGCUUGACUGUGAGACCUACAAGUCGAGCAGGGACGAAAGUCGGUCUUAGUGAUCUGACGGUACUGAGUGGAAAGGCCGUCACUCAACGGAUAAAAGUUACUCUAGGAUAACAGGCUGAUCUCCCCCAAGAGUUCACAUCGACGGGGAGGUUUGGCACCUCGAUGUCGGCUCAUCGCAUCCUGGGGCGGUAGUACGUCCCAAGGGUUGGGCUGUUCGCCCAUGAAAGCGGUACGCGAGCUGGGUUCAGAACGUCGUGAGACAGUUCGGUCCAUAUCCGGUGUAGGCGCUAGAAUAUUGAGAGGAGCCUUCUUUAGUACGAGAGGACCGAGAAGGACACACCGCUGGUGUACCAGUUAUCGUGCCAACGGUAAACGCUGGGUAGCUAUGUGUGGAGUGGAUAACCGCUGAAAGCAUCUAAGUGGGAAGCCCACCUCGAGAUGAGUACUCCC
Molecule: ribosomal RNA, 1241 nt
Filed under: metagenome
Description: bacterial LSU rRNA
Rfam family: Bacterial large subunit ribosomal RNA
Source: RNAcentral